RNAcentral lists this ribosomal RNA (1105 nucleotides) under Bacillus altitudinis. RNAcentral's name for it is "bacterial SSU rRNA". It matches the Rfam family "Bacterial small subunit ribosomal RNA", at positions 31 to 1119 of the family's 1533-position model. Lineage: Bacteria; Bacillati; Bacillota; Bacilli; Caryophanales; Bacillaceae. The record is from RNAcentral.
GGGCCGUGGCGGGGUGCUAUACAUGCAAGUCGAGCGGACAGAAGGGAGCUUGCUCCCGGAUGUUAGCGGCGGACGGGUGAGUAACACGUGGGUAACCUGCCUGUAAGACUGGGAUAACUCCGGGAAACCGGAGCUAAUACCGGAUAGUUCCUUGAACCGCAUGGUUCAAGGAUGAAAGACGGUUUCGGCUGUCACUUACAGAUGGACCCGCGGCGCAUUAGCUAGUUGGUGAGGUAACGGCUCACCAAGGCGACGAUGCGUAGCCGACCUGAGAGGGUGAUCGGCCACACUGGGACUGAGACACGGCCCAGACUCCUACGGGAGGCAGCAGUAGGGAAUCUUCCGCAAUGGACGAAAGUCUGACGGAGCAACGCCGCGUGAGUGAUGAAGGUUUUCGGAUCGUAAAGCUCUGUUGUUAGGGAAGAACAAGUGCAAGAGUAACUGCUUGCACCUUGACGGUACCUAACCAGAAAGCCACGGCUAACUACGUGCCAGCAGCCGCGGUAAUACGUAGGUGGCAAGCGUUGUCCGGAAUUAUUGGGCGUAAAGGGCUCGCAGGCGGUUUCUUAAGUCUGAUGUGAAAGCCCCCGGCUCAACCGGGGAGGGUCAUUGGAAACUGGGAAACUUGAGUGCAGAAGAGGAGAGUGGAAUUCCACGUGUAGCGGUGAAAUGCGUAGAGAUGUGGAGGAACACCAGUGGCGAAGGCGACUCUCUGGUCUGUAACUGACGCUGAGGAGCGAAAGCGUGGGGAGCGAACAGGAUUAGAUACCCUGGUAGUCCACGCCGUAAACGAUGAGUGCUAAGUGUUAGGGGUUUCCGCCCCUUAGUGCUGCAGCUAACGCAUUAAGCACUCCGCCUGGGGAGUACGGUCGCAAGACUGAACUCAAAGGAAUUGACGGGGGCCCGCACAAGCGGUGGAGCAUGUGGUUUAAUUCGGAGCAACGCGAAGAACCUUACCAAGUCUUGACAUCCUCUGACACCCUAGAGAUAGGGUCUUUUCCUUUCGGGGACAGAGUGACAGGUGGUGCAUGGCUUGUCGUCAGCUCUGUCGUGACAUGUGGUUAAGUCCCGCAACGAUCUGCAACUCCUUGAAUCUUAGGUUGUC